CCAAAUAGGUGUGUGUGGGGUUCGGGGAAGACCUGCUGGCCGAGCUUCCCAGCUAAACAGCAGCCGUUUCUAAAUAUACGUCCCAACCUUCUUUAGCAAUUGAGCAUCUCUGGGCCCGAGAAGCACCUUCGCCUCCCGACCGCCUAGUCUGGCACCCUGGUCUUCACCGAACUGGACUUCCUGGUGACGCCACACCGGAGACUUCCGGUUGCCGGCCUUGGAGUUAAACUGCCUAACGCGGGGGCUGCUAGUCCCCUGGGUUCCUGCGGGAUUCUGAUGGAGGAGCUACUCCUCUGCGAGGACACAGCAGGUGGGCUCCGCUGCUGGUCGGGGCAGGUUGUGAAGACCGAGGUGGCGCGGCGCACCAAGGCCUAUAUUUGAAGAAUUAGACCUUUUGAGCACCAUUUGCUACCCAGUUGGCAUUUGCUGAACAACUACUUCGUGCACGGCCCUCUAAUGGGCUUAGAGCGAGUCAACAAGAUCUGUAUUCGCAGACGCUUUACACGACAGACUAUAAAGAAACUGGAACUAUAUAGGAUGAGGUGCUGAGAAAUGAACAAGACUGGGACUAGGCUGAGGAAAACAAAAGUGCUCAGCUAAUAUUGCCUGAGGAACUAGGCAGUUCUUCAGGCUGUCAUCAUGGGUAUCCGAGGACUAAUGAGUUUCGUGGAAGAUCACAGUAAUGAGUUCUUCACUGAUUUGAAGUUGCGGGACACAAAAAUUAUCAUUGAUGGCUAUGCUCUUUUCCACCGACUUUGCUUCAAUUCAAAUUUGGAGCUUCGGUAUGGAGGGGACUAUGAUUCUUUUGCAGAAGUUGUAGAAAACUUCUUUGAAUCACUGUUUGCUUGUAAUAUAUGCCCGUAUGUUGUAUUAGAUGGAGGAUGUGACAUUUCAGAUAAAAAGCUUAUAACUUUAAAGGAUCGAGCUAGAGAGAAGAUUCAGAUGGCCCAUUCCCUAUCUAUUGGUGGGGGUGGGUGUGUGUGUCCCUUACUCAUCCGUGAAGUGUUCCUACAGGUUUUGAUCAAGCUGCAAGUAUGUUUUGUCCAGUGCUUUUCAGAAGCAGAUCGGGAUAUUAUGACACUUGCCAAUCAUUGGAAUUGCCCUGUGUUAUCAUCAGAUAGUGACUUUUGCAUUUUUGACCUGAAAACAGGGUUUUGUCCAUUGAAUGGCUUCCAGUGGAGAAAUUUGAACACUAUUAAAGGCACACAAAACUACUAUAUUCCUGCCAAAUGCUUUUCCCUUGAUGCACUCUGCCAUUACUUCAGCAAUAUGAACAAAGCUCUACUACCUCUCUUCGCAGUACUGUGUGGGAAUGACCAUAUUAAUCUGCCCAUCAUAGAGACAUUCUUAAGUAAAGUACGCCUUCCUCUUAGAGCUACUAGUUCUAAGGGAAGGAGACACCACCGAGUUCUGGGACUUCUGAACUGGUUGUCUCAUUUUGCUGACCCCACCGAAGCACUAGAUAAUGUUCUGAAAUACCUCCCAAAAAAGGAUCGAGAAAAUGUUAAGGAACUUCUCUGCUGUUCCAUGGAGGAAUACCAGCAGUCCCAGGUGAAGUUGCAGGACUUCUUCCAAAAUGGUACUUAUGUUUGUCCAGAUGCCUUGAAUCUCGGUUUACCAGAAUGGGUACUAGUGGCUUUAUCCAAAGGCCAGCUGUCUCCUUUCAUCAGUGAUGCUCUGGUGCUAAGACGGACCAUUCUUCAAACACAGGUAGAAAACAUGCAGAGACCAAAUGCCCACAAAAUAUCUCAGCCCAUCCGGCAAGUUAUCUAUGGGCUUCUUUUAAAUUCUUUGUCACAUGUAGAAAACAUGUCCUGGAGUGCCUUGCCUCAUCAGUCUCUAGCUUUCAGUGAAGUAGAAAGGAUUCAUCAAAACAUCAAAACAUCAAUUGUUCAUGCAGUAGAACUGCCUAAAGAUCAUGCUGAUUUGAGCAAAUUGACCAAGGUCUCCUUCGUUAGGCGGCAGAUGCUUCUGUUAGAAACCCUAAAGGUGAAACAGACCAUCCUGGAGCCAAUCCCUACUUCUCUUAAGUUGCCUAUUGCUGUCAGUUGCUACUGGUUGCAGCACACAGAGGCCAAGGCAAAGCUACAUCAUCUACAAGCCCUUCUGUUGGGGAUGCUGAUGGGGCCUUUGCAUGCCAUAAUCAACAGCCCUGGAAAUGUGAACCCUGCACCCUGGCAGGCUCAGUGCCUUGCUGCUUGAUAAUUGGUAAAAGGUAAAGAAGAGCUGCAGGAAGGUGGUGCUAAGAUGUUGUAUGAAGAGUUCCAAAGAGUGAAGGAGCUGACGUGGCCGGGCCGGAGACUGGAUUUAGACACAGCUCACAUCUUCUGUCAGUGGCAGUCCUGUCUCCAGAUGGGGAUGUAUCUCAACCAGCUGCUGUCCACUCCUCUCCCAGAGCCAGACCUAACUCGAUUGUAUAGUGGAAGCCUGGUGCAUGGACUAUGCCAACAACUGCUAACAUCAGCCUCUGUAGAAAGUCUCCUGAGCAUGUGUCCCGAGGCUAAGCAACUUUAUGAACACCUGUUCAAUGCCACAAAGUCAUAUGCUCCAGCUGAACUCUUCUUACCAAAGGGUAAAUCAAAUUCAAAAAAAAAAAGAAAGAAGAAAAAGGGUACCACCUGGUCAAAGAACAGAGUGGGAACUGCCUCAGAUCCCCGA
Molecule: non-coding RNA, 2658 nt
Organism: Ictidomys tridecemlineatus (thirteen-lined ground squirrel)
Lineage: Eukaryota; Metazoa; Chordata; Mammalia; Rodentia; Sciuridae
Source: RefSeq, a predicted model, not a curated record